CAACUUUUUUCAACGGAUCUCUUUGGCUUCGCAUCGAUGAAGAACGCAGCGAAAUGCGAUACGUAAUGUGAAUUGCAGAAUUCAGUGAAUCAUCGAAUCUUUGAACGCACAUUGCGCUCUCCGGUGUUCCGGAGAGCAUGCUGGUUUUAUUAUCAGCA
RNAcentral lists this ribosomal RNA (158 nucleotides) under Podila horticola. RNAcentral describes it as "Mortierella horticola 5.8S ribosomal RNA". It matches the Rfam family "5.8S ribosomal RNA". Rfam says of the family: 5.8S ribosomal RNA (5.8S rRNA) is a component of the large subunit of the eukaryotic ribosome. It is transcribed by RNA polymerase I as part of the 45S precursor that also contains 18S and 28S rRNA. The record is from RNAcentral. Lineage: Eukaryota; Fungi; Mortierellomycota; Mortierellomycetes; Mortierellales; Mortierellaceae.